This 67-nucleotide transfer RNA is filed under the name Clavelina oblonga. Its description in RNAcentral is "transfer RNA-Lys". Lineage: Eukaryota; Metazoa; Chordata; Ascidiacea; Aplousobranchia; Clavelinidae. The record is from RNAcentral.
UAAAAAGAAGCUUUUAGAAGUAAUAUACUUUUAAUAUAUUGAAGAAUAAAAUUUUAUUCCUUUUUUC